This 188-nucleotide non-coding RNA is filed under the name [Clostridium] methylpentosum. RNAcentral's name for it is "6S RNA". It matches the Rfam family "6S / SsrS RNA". From Rfam's summary of the family: E. coli 6S RNA was the first non coding RNA to be sequenced, but its function was unknown until recently. The record is from RNAcentral. Lineage: Bacteria; Bacillati; Bacillota; Clostridia; Eubacteriales; Oscillospiraceae. RNAcentral also lists the same sequence under 2 other names.
UAUUGACUGCCUUGUCUCGUUUGUAUAGAUUUAUUAAUCCAACACUUUAAUAACGGGAGCCCGAACUCUUCUUAUGGAUUGCAGACCUCCCGCUCCGGCGGAAGAAGGGAGCGCGAAGUAAGAAGGAGGGCACCCACCUGUCGCAAGACGGGUUCUUACUUUCUGUACGACGGCAAGGUGGUUACCUU